Molecule: ribosomal RNA, 766 nt
Filed under: uncultured Brochothrix sp.
Lineage: Bacteria; Bacillati; Bacillota; Bacilli; Caryophanales; Listeriaceae
Description: bacterial SSU rRNA
Rfam family: Bacterial small subunit ribosomal RNA
Source: RNAcentral
GACGAACGCUGGCGGCGUGCCUAAUACAUGCAAGUCGAACGAACGGAUAAAGAGCUUGCUCUUUUGAAGUUAGUGGCGGACGGGUGAGUAACACGUGGGUAACCUGCCUCACAGCUGGGGAUAACAUCGAGAAAUCGAUGCUAAUACCGAAUGUGCUGAACAUCAUAAGAUGUUCAAGUGAAAGACGGUUUCGGCUGUCACUGUGAGAUGGACCCGCGCUGGAUUAGCUAGUUGGUAAGGUAAUGGCUUACCAAGGCGACGAUCCAUAGCCGACCUGAGAGGGUGAUCGGCCACAUUGGGACUGAGACACGGCCCAAACUCCUACGGGAGGCAGCAGUAGGGAAUCUUCGGCAAUGGACGAAAGUCUGACCGAGCAACGCCGCGUGAGCGAAGAAGGCCUUCGGGUCGUAAAGCUCUGUUGUUAGAGAAGAACAUGGGUGAGAGUAACUGUUCACCCCUUGACGGUAUCUAACCAGAAAGCCACGGCUAACUACGUGCCAGCAGCCGCGGUAAUACGUAGGUGGCAAGCGUUGUCCGGAAUUAUUGGGCGUAAAGCGCGCGCAGGCGGUCUCUUAAGUCUGAUGUGAAAGCCCCCGGCUCAACCGGGGAAGGUCAUUGGAAACUGGGAGACUUGAGGACAGAAGAGGAGAGUGGAAUUCCAAGUGUAGCGGUGAAAUGCGUAGAUAUUUGGAGGAACACCAGUGGCGAAGGCGGCUCUCUGGUCUGUUACUGACGCUGAGGCGCGAAAGCGUGGGGAGCAAACAGG